UAACACAUGCAAGUCGAACGCGAAAGCCCCGAAAGGGGUGAGUAGAGUGGCAAACGGGUGAGUAACGCGUGGGUGACCUGCCUUCGAGCGGGGGAUAACGUUCCGAAAGGGACGCUAAUACCGCAUAACAUCCUGCCUUUUAAGAGGUGGAGAUCAAAGCUGGGGAUCGCAAGACCUAGCACUGGAAGAGGGGCCCGCGUCUGAUUAGCUAGUUGGUGAGGUAACGGCCCACCAAGGCGACGAUCAGUAUCCGGCCUGAGAGGGCGGACGGACACACUGGGACUGAGACACGGCCCAGACUCCUACGGGAGGCAGCAGUGGGGAAUUGUUCGCAAUGGGCGCAAGCCUGACGACGCAACGCCGCGUGGAGGAUGAAGACCUUCGGGUCGUAAACUCCUUUCGAUCGAGACGAACGGCUUCCGGGUGAACAAUCCGGAAGAGUGACGGUACCGAGAGAAGAAGCCCCGGCUAACUCCGUGCCAGCAGCCGCGGUAAUACGGGGGGGGCAAGCGUUGUUCGGAAUUACUGGGCGUAAAGGGCUCGUAGGUGGCCAACUAAGUCAGACGUGAAAUCCCUCGGCUUAACCGGGGAACUGCGUCUGAUACUGGAUGGCUUGAGAUUGGGAGAGGGAUGCGGAAUUCCAGGUGUAGCGGUGAAAUGCGUAGAUAUCUGGAGGAACACCGGUGGCGAAGGCG
RNAcentral lists this ribosomal RNA (695 nucleotides) under uncultured soil bacterium. RNAcentral describes it as "bacterial SSU rRNA". It matches the Rfam family "Bacterial small subunit ribosomal RNA", at positions 49 to 723 of the family's 1533-position model. The record is from RNAcentral.